CUAAGGGCGUAUCUGUGUGGCUCUUUGUAGUGUCAUUUAAAAAAAUGUAUUUGAAAGGAGGGAUUUUCAAAAUCCCUCAUUCACAAGCAUCCAUAGGCAACAAAAGGGGCGCGCGCGGGAGCGCGAAUGUAGAGAAGCAAGCCGUCGUAUUGGCCCUAUUUUUUCAUUUGUGCAUGAAAUUGGGAUUUAUCUUAGGUGGCCACAUUAUAUUACCCCAAAGAUGGGUGAACCCAGCAUCUGAGCUGCUCUGCUACAUCUGUUGAUGUUGCUGUGUCAAUAAUCCAAAGGGCUCCUGUGCAUUUAACAGUUCCAGCCAGAAGACAUUCACCAAUUGCUGCUUUCCUCCAGCAUAGAGAUGCAGUCAUGUGGGCACGAAGAGGGAGAGAGAACUGUUCUGGAUGAGUUGGAAUCUUUUAUGCAGCUGGUAAACCACUGGAGUUCUGCCAGGAAAAGAGGUGGCGACACUAUAGGAGGAGGAGGAGGAGAAGCAGGAGAUCCACAAAAUGACACAAGUACUAUGUUGUAUCAAAAUUUAAGCACGUGGUUACUUUAAAAAAAAUAAAUCCCCUAGAGUGCAGGAAUUGCACAGUGGGAAACAUACAGUCUUUAAAAACAAGUAUUUUAAUUAACUUUAACAAAAUCUCACGAAUAGGUAUAGAUUUGCACAGGAUUAUCACAAAUAAUGUCUAAUUGGUGUUUGUUGCAUUUCUGUUUAUGUUAAUAAGCUAUCCCAUUCAUUGAAGUAAGGAUAAUUACAAUGAAUGUCCCAGGUUCUACAAUCUAUUAUACUAGUUGACUGGGCGCAUAGCAUCUGUGCCCCUAGUUCUCCCUGGCUAACCCCCCUUCAGCCCCUUCUCCCUAACUCUUCCACCAAGUGUCUCUAACCACCGCCCACCCUCUCGCUUCUCUCCCCACCCCCCGCUUGUGGUUUCAGACCGGCUUGCUGGCCCGUUUGCUCCUGCUGCCGCUUCCUCACACUGGCGGCGCGCAGUGCCCGCCACGGCUGGUCCCACCGCUGUCCGCCAUUUCCCUGGGCAGCAGCUCAACCGUCUCAUGAAUCCUGCCACGCGUGAGCUCCACCGCCCAGCCAAUCCGGCGCCUCGGCUUCCCAGCCAAUCCGCUGGGUUGCCGGGAUGCAUCCCUACAGAGGCACGUCUACGGGGAUUAA
Hemicordylus capensis (graceful crag lizard) is the source of this 1168-nucleotide long non-coding RNA. RefSeq lists it as uncharacterized. NCBI's taxonomy places the organism in Eukaryota, Metazoa, Chordata, Lepidosauria, Squamata, Cordylidae. The record is from RefSeq and is a predicted model, not a curated record. The transcript has 3 exons.